GACGAACGCUGGCGGCGUGCCUAAUACAUGCAAGUAGAACGCACAGUUUAUACCGUAGCUUGCUACACCAUAGACUGUGAGUUGCGAACGGGUGAGUAACGCGUAGGUAACCUGCCUGGUAGCGGGGGAUAACUAUUGGAAACGAUAGCUAAUACCGCAUAAUAUUAAUUAUUGCAUGAUAAUUAAUUGAAAGGUGCAAUUGCACCACUACCAGAUGGACCUGCGUUGUAUUAGCUAGUAGGUGAGGUAACGGCUCACCUAGGCGACGACACAUAGCCGACCUGAGAGGGUGAUCGGCCACACUGGGACUGAGACACGGCCCAGACUCCUACGGGAGGCAGCAGUAGGGAAUCUUCGGCAAUGGACGAAAGUCUGACCGAGCAACGCCGCGUGAGUGAAGAAGGUUUUCGGAUCGUAAAGCUCUGUUGUAAGAGAAGAACGGGUGUGAGAGUGGAAAGUUCACACUGUGACGGUAUCUUACCAGAAAGGGACGGCUAACUACGUG
RNAcentral lists this ribosomal RNA (505 nucleotides) under uncultured bacterium. RNAcentral's name for it is "partial 16S ribosomal RNA". It matches the Rfam family "Bacterial small subunit ribosomal RNA", at positions 28 to 507 of the family's 1533-position model. The record is from RNAcentral.